This 629-nucleotide ribosomal RNA is filed under the name uncultured bacterium. Its description in RNAcentral is "bacterial SSU rRNA". The stretch from base 1 to 542 matches the Rfam family "Bacterial small subunit ribosomal RNA", at positions 338 to 873 of the family's 1533-position model. The record is from RNAcentral.
CCUACGGGAGGCAGCAGUGGGGAAUUUUGGACAAUGGGCGAAAGCCUGAUCCAGCAAUGCCGCGUGAGUGAAGAAGGCCUUCGGGUUGUAAAGCUCUUUUGUCAGGGAAGAAACGGUGAGAGCUAAUAUCUCUUGCUAAUGACGGUACCUGAAGAAUAAGCACCGGCUAACUACGUGCCAGCAGCCGCGGUAAUACGUAGGGUGCAAGCGUUAAUCGGAAUUACUGGGCGUAAAGCGUGCGCAGGCGGUUUUGUAAGUCUGAUGUGAAAUCCCCGGGCUCAACCUGGGAAUUGCAUUGGAGACUGCAAGGCUAGAAUCUGGCAGAGGGGGGUAGAAUUCCACGUGUAGCAGUGAAAUGCGUAGAUAUGUGGAGGAACACCGAUGGCGAAGGCAGCCCCCUGGGUCAAGAUUGACGCUCAUGCACGAAAGCGUGGGGAGCAAACAGGAUUAGAUACCCUGGUAGUCCACGCCCUAAACGAUGUCUACUAGUUGUCGGGUCUUAAUUGACUUGGUAACGCAGCUAACGCGUGAAGUAGACCGCCUGGGGGAGGUACGGUCGCGAGAGUUAAACGUACAAGUAGAGUUAGACGGACGUGAGACGNGCCGACGGACGACGACGAGGGAGGAGG